UUGCUUCAGUGGUGAACAUGCUAAAAUUGGAACAACAUACAGCAGGUCAGCAUGGCUUUUGCUAAGAAAACAAGAAAAUUCAUGAUACAGUCCAGAUUUUG
Molecule: small nuclear RNA, 101 nt
Filed under: Carlito syrichta (Philippine tarsier)
Lineage: Eukaryota; Metazoa; Chordata; Mammalia; Primates; Tarsiidae
Source: RNAcentral